AACGCACGAGACCUGCGGACCUGCGGAAGGAUCAUUACAGGGUUCGUGCCCUCUGGGCAGACCUCCCACCCACUGUUAUUAUUACGAUUGUUGCUUUGGCGGGCCGUCCGGGCGCCGCCCGGCCGCCGGCUCCCGCUGGCGCGUGCCCGCCAGAGGCCCCUAAACUCUACGUCUUGUGUCGUCUGAGUCCCACACAAUAGUCAAAACUUUCAACAAUGGAUCUCUAGAUCGGAAGAGCAC
This 240-nucleotide unclassified non-coding RNA is filed under the name soil metagenome. RNAcentral's name for it is "partial contains 5.8S ribosomal RNA, internal transcribed spacer 2, and large subunit ribosomal RNA". The record is from RNAcentral.